RNAcentral lists this unclassified non-coding RNA (250 nucleotides) under uncultured fungus. Its description in RNAcentral is "partial contains 18S rRNA, ITS1, 5.8S rRNA, ITS2 and 28S rRNA". The record is from RNAcentral. Lineage: Eukaryota; Fungi.
AAGGAUCAUUAAUCGAAUGAACAUGUUUCCCAGCAUGAAACUUCAAAACCCCACCUGUGUAUCUUACCUGUUGCUUCCGUGCCGCACACGCCUGCGAAGGGGUGCCUCCUGGUCCGGAAUACCGCGUACUGCGGGCCCUGGGGAGUCGGCACGCUUGGUUAACCGUAAAAACUCUUGCCUUUGAAUGUCUUCUGUCUGAACUGUAUUACGUAAAAAGUUAAAACUUUCAACAACGGAUCUCUUGGUUCUC